Molecule: long non-coding RNA, 404 nt
Organism: Callorhinus ursinus (northern fur seal)
Lineage: Eukaryota; Metazoa; Chordata; Mammalia; Carnivora; Otariidae
Source: RefSeq, a predicted model, not a curated record
CCCUAUAUGUGCCAGAUAAGCUCAUCUUUAUCUGGGGAACAUGUAGAACUACGAUGAAGUAAAGGGAGAUGGAAGAAAAUAUAAUAGUUUAAGAGUAUGUCUUAUAAAAUAAUAGGUUUCAUAUUUGCCAAUGGCUGGUGAUCUCUGCAGACGGAGCCCUUGGUUUCAAGUAAAACACCUCAACCGUUUACAAGAAGGAAAGCUAUCCAUGGAAGGAGUGAUCUGCAAUUUACAUAUUCCAGGACUGAAAGUCUACAGUUGCUGAUAAAAUAUACAUCUCUGUACCAGGAAGAUGGAAUUUUGUUUGCUGGGGAAAGAAAACAGGGAGAAGAAAAUACGGUGCCUCAUGUACUGGUUCUUAAAGCCUCUGAUUGCAAGUGACACAUGUCAUUUCUGUUUCUACU